UCAGGACGAACGCUGGCGGCGUGCUUAACACAUGCAAGUCGAGCGGUAAGGCCCUUCGGGGUACACGAGCGGCGAACGGGUGAGUAACACGUGGGUGAUCUGCCUCGCACUUCGGGAUAAGCCUGGGAAACUGGGUCUAAUACCGGAUAUGACCUGCUGUCGCAUGGCGGUGGGUGGAAAGAUUUAUCGGUGCGAGAUGGGCCCGCGGCCUAUCAGCUUGUUGGUGGGGUAAUGGCCUACCAAGGCGACGACGGGUAGCCGGCCUGAGAGGGCGACCGGCCACACUGGGACUGAGACACGGCCCAGACUCCUACGGGAGGCAGCAGUGGGGAAUAUUGCACAAUGGGCGAAAGCCUGAUGCAGCGACGCCGCGUGAGGGAUGACGGCCUUCGGGUUGUAAACCUCUUUCGACAGGGACGAAGCGCAAGUGACGGUACCUGUAGAAGAAGCACCGGCCAACUACGUGCCAGCAGCCGCGGUAAUACGUAGGGUGCGAGCGUUGUCCGA
This 507-nucleotide ribosomal RNA is filed under the name Nocardia sp. KKA Seq673. RNAcentral's name for it is "bacterial SSU rRNA". It matches the Rfam family "Bacterial small subunit ribosomal RNA", at positions 24 to 548 of the family's 1533-position model. The record is from RNAcentral. Lineage: Bacteria; Bacillati; Actinomycetota; Actinomycetes; Mycobacteriales; Nocardiaceae.